ACUGCGUCUGUGCGGGCGUCUGGCUGCGCUCGGCGGGCGUGGCUGGGGCACCCUGGCGCCAUCUUUUUCCAGCGCGCGAAGGCAGGAGCCCGAGACUGGGGAAAGGCAGGAUCCUGGUUUCAAAAUCUCAGAAGUGUUCCUGCACUCUGUACUUCCUCCCCCACCUCUGAAGCUGCUGGGUCUCCUCCCAUCGGGGCAGGCCCAAUGGGGCUCCGCGAGUCAUCUUAGUGGAAGCCCUGGGCUCCUAAGCUUUCUUCUUCCCAAGUGUGUCCCAGCUUCAGCGCUGAUUCUUCCCUACUGCCUGGUGUCUGAGCCUCUGUCUUGACAGGCUGCCUCGGCUCCUGCCCAUCCUGCUUUCAUCCCCAGGACUGAGCUCUGAUUGCUGGUGUCCAACCCACAGAGAGGCUGUGCCACGGCUCGCCCGGUGCUAUGUUGGGGCUGAAUUGUGCCUUCCCCCUGCCAACCCCCCAACCCCAUUUACAUGUUGUAGUCCUAACCCCUGCCCAGUACCUCAGAAUGUGACUGUAUCUGGAGAUAGGGUCGUUAAAGAGCUAUUUCAGAUAUAGUGAGGUCAUCAGGGUGAGCCCUGAUCCAAUCUGACUGGUGUCCUUAUAAGAAGAGGAGAUGAGGACACACACAGAGGCCCUGUGAGGACACAGGGAGAAGAUGCCAUCCACAAGCCAAGGAGAGAGGCUCAGAGGAAACUUGAUCUUGGACUUCCAGCCUCCAGAAUCUUGAGAAAAUAAAUUUCAAUUUCAAUUUUUUUUUUAAGAGAUGAUGUCUCGCUGUCAUCCAGGCUGGAGUGCAAUAUUGCAAUCGUAGCUCACUGCAACCUCAAAGUUCUGGGCUCAGGCAAUCCUCCUGCCUCGGCCUCCUGUGUAUUUGGGACUACAGGUCUGUGCCACCACACCUGACUAUUCUUUUUAAAAUUUUUUGUAGACAUGAGGUCUCAUUAUGUUGCCCAGGCUGGUCUCAAACUCCUGAGAUCAAGCCAUCCCUCCACCUUGGCCUCCCAAAGUGCUGGGAUUACAGGCGUGAGCCAAUGAGCCCAGCCGAAAUUUCUAUUGUUGAAGCCACCCAGUUGGUGUUAAUUUGUUACAGCAGCCUGAGGAAAUCAUGCUGCCUGCCUGGAUUUUGUCUGUCACCUCCUGGCUACUAUGUCCUGCCCUCCUUCUAGCGGCUGGGAUACUUCCAUGACUUUGUGCUAGACCUGAGCACAGGCUGCUGGUUCAGCUCAUCACCCAUCUUCUGAUGAUGUCCCGAUCCCAGUGCUGGCGGCUGGAUCUGCCUCCCACCCAGGAGGUGGUUCGGACUCUAGAUCAUGGCUUCUCCCAGCCAGCUGCAUGCUGCACUCCAGAUUGUCCCCAGCCUAGAGGUCAUUGGAUGCAUCCCUCACCCAAAGCACAGAUACUCUCUAGUCUUCCUGGGAGUCCCGAAAAGUGUCCCGGAAGAGAGCUCCCUGCCGCACCAGGACCCGCCAUGGGCCGCACCAGGACCCGCCAUGGGCUACUCUUCUUCUUGUGAGGACACUUGGCUUAUUUAUUCUCCGUUUUCUUCUCUGUCGUGUCCACAUGUUUGUUUUUGUUCAGCUGGGGCCACAGUUACCUCUUCCUUCAUGUAGCUGCUUGUUACACAUUCAAAAGGCCUGCUCAAGGUGGUGUUCGUGGUCUUCGCCUCCUUGUGUGCCUGGUAUUCGGGGUACCUGCUCGCAGAGCUCAUUCCAGAUGCACCCCUGUCCAGUGCUGCCUAUAGCAUCCGCAGCCUCGGGGAGAGGCCUGUCCUCAAAGCUCCAGUCCCCAAAAGGCAAAAAUGUGACCACUGGACUCCCUGCCCAUCUGACACCUAUGCCUACAGGUUACUCAGCGGAGGUGGCAGAAGCAAGUACGCCAAAAUCUGCUUUGAGGAUAACCUGCUUAUGGGAGAACAGCUGGGAAAUGUUGCCAGAGGAAUAAACAUUGCCAUUGUCAACUAUGUAACUGGGAAUGUGACAGCAACACGAUGUUUUGAUAUGUAUGAAGGCGGCACUGACUCUUGACUGCAGUUGUUGGCCAGGAUAUACUAUCCCCUCUUAUUUUUAUAUAUCAAUGAGACUUUCAAAAACAAGUUUUUAUAAAGAUAGUGAAGACGAAGAAUAGAAAACGCCUGCACCCACCCAAUAAGAAGGACACAGUUGUACUCUGCAGUUAACCUAAGCAGAACAGUAAAUAAUGAGCCGCAGUGAUAACUCUGGACCGAUGACAAAGUUUAUUCAGAGUGCUGCUCCAAAAUCCCUGCUCUUCAUGGUGACCUAUGACGACGGAAGCACAAGACUGAAUAACGAUGCCAAGAAUGCCAUAGAAGCACUUGGAAGUAAAGAAAUCAGGAACAUGAAAUUCAGGUCUAGCUGGGUAUUUAUUGCAGCAAAAGGCUUGGAACUCCCUUCCGAAAUUCAGAGAGAAAAGAUCAACCACUCUGAUGCUAAGAACAACAGAUAUUCUGGCUGGCCUGCAGAGAUCCAGAUAGAAGGCUGCAUACCCAAAGAACGAAGCUGACACUGCAGGGUCCUGAGUAAAUGUGUUCUGUAUAAACAAAUGCAGCUGGAAUCGCUCAAGAAUCUUAUUUUUCUAAAUCCAACAGUCCAUAUUUGACGAGUAUUUUGGGUUUGUUGUAAACCAAUGAACAUUUGCUAGUUGUAUCAAAUCUUGGUAUGCAGUAUUUUUAUACCAGUAUUUUAUGUAGUGAAGAUGUCAAUUAGCAGGAAACUAAAAUGAAUGGAAAUUCUUAAA
This 2765-nucleotide small RNA is filed under the name Pan troglodytes (chimpanzee). RNAcentral's name for it is "processed transcript". The record is from RNAcentral. Lineage: Eukaryota; Metazoa; Chordata; Mammalia; Primates; Hominidae.